GGCUCCAUUUGAUGACUCUCAUAAAAAGACAAGCAUAUGCCUGACAUUAAUGAUGCUAAAUUUUAAAUCUGAUCAGCC
RNAcentral lists this small nucleolar RNA (78 nucleotides) under Labrus bergylta (ballan wrasse). Its description in RNAcentral is "Small nucleolar RNA SNORD27 (ENSLBEG00000016661.1)". The record is from RNAcentral. Lineage: Eukaryota; Metazoa; Chordata; Actinopteri; Labriformes; Labridae.